Molecule: small nucleolar RNA, 132 nt
Organism: Apodemus sylvaticus (European woodmouse)
Lineage: Eukaryota; Metazoa; Chordata; Mammalia; Rodentia; Muridae
Product: small nucleolar RNA SNORA17
Exons: 1
Source: RefSeq, a predicted model, not a curated record
AAUUUUAAAAAAUGUAUUGCAGGAGUGACUGCAGUGUCACAUGUGCAUCAAUAGGUGACAGAGAAGAGUGAGGCUAUGAUUAAGUUCAGAGUUUUCACCUAAGACCUUCUGAAUAAUUGAUAUCUUAACAUU